CCUACGGGUGGCAGCAGUGAGGAAUAUUGGUCAAUGGCCGGAAGGCUGAACCAGCCAUGCCGCGUGAAGGUCAGUGCCCUAUGGGCGUUAAACUUCUUUUGUGCGGGAGCAAUAAUGGUCACGUGUGGCCAGACGAGAGUACCGUACGAAUAAGCAUCGGCUAACUCCGUGCCAGCAGCCGCGGUAAUACGGGGGAGGCAAGCGUUAUCCGGAUUUAUUGGGUUUAAAGGGUGCGUAGGCUGUGAGGUAAGUCAGCGGUGAAAUGCCCCCGCUCAACGGGGUGAAGUGCCAUUGAUACUGCCUGGCUGGAAUGCGGAUGCCGUGGGAGGAAUGUGUGGUGUAGCGGUGAAAUGCAUAGAUAUCACACAGAACACCGAUUGCGAAGGCAUCUCACGAAUCCGCGAUUGACGCUGAUGCACGAAAGCGUGGGUAUCAAACAGGAUUAGAUACCCUAGUAGUC
Molecule: ribosomal RNA, 460 nt
Filed under: uncultured bacterium
Lineage: Bacteria
Description: partial 16S ribosomal RNA
Rfam family: Bacterial small subunit ribosomal RNA
Source: RNAcentral